This 306-nucleotide long non-coding RNA is filed under the name Solanum pimpinellifolium. RNAcentral's name for it is "long non-coding RNA (SPIM_LNC000236)". Lineage: Eukaryota; Viridiplantae; Streptophyta; Magnoliopsida; Solanales; Solanaceae. The record is from RNAcentral.
GUUUGUUGUUAGAAUAUCUAUCCUAGUAGGAAGAUGGAAAGAAUAUACUAUACACUAUAGGAGAGUCAAAGAAUAGGCCUGUUGGAACUAUAUCAAGAUUAGAAUGACAAGGAAUAUCCGUAUCCGUAUAUAAUAAGUUGGGCUCUAUCCUUCCCGCCCACCUAAAACAUAUCUGGAGGGAAGAAUCCGAGGGUAGCCUGAUGAUUAAGGGACAGGGACACUGUCAACAGGGUAUGGUUCUUUUUUAUCACCCGGAUGACGCACACUGCUUUAAAUAAAGCGCAGUGAAUAAUGCGCUAGACCGCC